RNAcentral lists this ribosomal RNA (253 nucleotides) under uncultured bacterium. RNAcentral's name for it is "partial 16S ribosomal RNA". It matches the Rfam family "Bacterial small subunit ribosomal RNA", at positions 524 to 776 of the family's 1533-position model. The record is from RNAcentral.
UACGUAGGGUGCGAGCGUUGUCCGGAAUUAUUGGGCGUAAAGAGCUCGUAGGCGGUUUGUCACGUCUGCUGUGAAAUCCCGAGGCUCAACCUCGGGCCUGCAGUGGGUACGGGCAGACUGGAGUGCGGUAGGGGAGAAUGGAAUUCCUGGUGUAGCGGUGGAAUGCGCAGAUAUCAGGAGGAACACCGAUGGCGAAGGCAGUUCUCUGGGCCGUAACUGACGCUGGGGAGCGAAAGCGUGGGGAGCGAACAGG